This 422-nucleotide ribosomal RNA is filed under the name Gonidea angulata. RNAcentral describes it as "partial 28S large subunit ribosomal RNA". Lineage: Eukaryota; Metazoa; Mollusca; Bivalvia; Unionida; Unionidae. The record is from RNAcentral.
UUAGAGGCAAACGGGUGGACCCGCAAUGACGUCGACCCGGGGGAUUCAACCAGGCCGUUGCGAUCGGGACGCGUGGGGGUUAUGCGGAGCUGUAAAGCCCGUGCCUUUGCGUGGGUCUCCGGGCGGACUGGUGCACUUUCCUCGGGUUGAUUGCCACGACCGGCUCUCCGUGCGGCCACAAGCCUGUUGCUGGGAAGGUGACCGUGGGCCCCGCGCCCGCGGUGUUAUAGACCAGCUUGCUGGUUGAGCUCGUCGGAGGGCCGAGGAAGUUGCCGUUUCUCACCACCCUCUGGCCAUCCUUGCUCGUCACGACUGGGGUGAACUGCUUCGUCAGUGCUCUCCCGACCGCGAGCGUAGGAAGGGCUGGUACGGUGCGAGAAUGCUUCGGGCCAGUGGCGAAUCGGUCGGUCCUCCACCCGACC